ACUACGGGUGGCUGCAGUGAGGAAUAUUGGUCAAUGGACGAGAGUCUGAACCAGCCAAGUAGCGUGAAGGAUGACUGCCCUAUGGGUUGUAAACUCUUUUUAUAUGGGAAUAAAACAGGGUAUGCAUAGACUCUUGUAUGUACCAUAUGAAUAAGCAUCGGCUAACUCUGGGCCAGCAGCAGCGGUAAUAUGGAGGAUCCGAGCGUUAUAAGGAUCUACUUGGCUUAAAGGGAGCGUAGGGGGAUUAUUAAGUCAGUUGUGAAAGUUGGCGGCUCAACCGUAAAAUUGCAUUUGAAACUGGCAGUCUUGAGUACAGUAGAGGUGGGCAGAAUUCGUGGUGUAGCGGUGAAAUGCUUAGAUAUCCGGAAGAACUCCGAUUGCGAAGGCAGCCCUCUGGACUGCAACUGACGCUGAUGCGCGAAAGUGUGGGUAUCAAACAGGAUUAGAUACCCUGGUAGUC
This 460-nucleotide ribosomal RNA is filed under the name uncultured bacterium. RNAcentral's name for it is "partial 16S ribosomal RNA". It matches the Rfam family "Bacterial small subunit ribosomal RNA", at positions 338 to 795 of the family's 1533-position model. The record is from RNAcentral.